AUAUCUUAAUUGGAAAUAUUUCGCACAAACAAACACAUAAAAGAUAAUUUUGAUAUAUGCAAAUUUCUUUAGCCUUCAAUGAAAAUUUUAUGGCUAAAUUGGGUCUCAAAGUUGAGAGCAAAAUAUGCUUUCAAAGUUCAAACGAAGAUGGUGGUUUCAGCAUUAUGACGUCGCAGAAAGGCGUGAAAGCAAAAAUUUAAAAUAGCCUUCCAACACAUCAUAAUUAUUUUGACUAGUGAACGGGCUAUUAUGAUUAUCAUGAACUAUUAACGAUUGCAAUUAUGUGCAAGCAAAGAAAUGGAUUACGCAUCGUUAUGACAAUUUAAAAUAUGUAAGAAACACGUGUAGUUCUAGGGUCACUAAUGCAAUUAAGAGACUAUAAACAAUC
Molecule: long non-coding RNA, 388 nt
Filed under: Mytilus galloprovincialis (Mediterranean mussel)
Lineage: Eukaryota; Metazoa; Mollusca; Bivalvia; Mytilida; Mytilidae
Source: RNAcentral